Molecule: ribosomal RNA, 883 nt
Filed under: Proteus mirabilis
Lineage: Bacteria; Pseudomonadati; Pseudomonadota; Gammaproteobacteria; Enterobacterales; Morganellaceae
Description: partial 23S ribosomal RNA
Rfam family: Bacterial large subunit ribosomal RNA
Source: RNAcentral
CAGUGUCAGGAGAACGGUCUGGAAAGUCCGGCAGUAAAGGGUGAUAGCCCCGUAUCUGAAGAUGCUGUUAUUGUGAACUCGACGAGUAGGGCGGGACACGUGUUAUCCUGUCUGAAUAUGGGGGGACCAUCCUCCAAGGCUAAAUACUCCUGAUUGACCGAUAGUGAACCAGUACCGUGAGGGAAAGGCGAAAAGAACCCCGGCGAGGGGAGUGAAAAAGAACCUGAAACCGUGUACGUACAAGCAGUAGGAGCCUCUUUAUGGGGUGACUGCGUACCUUUUGUAUAAUGGGUCAGCGACUUAUAUUCUGUAGCAAGGUUAACCGUAUAGGGGAGCCGUAGGGAAACCGAGUCUUAACUGGGCGAAUGAGUUGCAGGGUAUAGACCCGAAACCCGGUGAUCUAUCCAUGGGCAGGUUGAAGGUUGGGUAACACUAACUGGAGGACCGAACCGACUAAUGUUGAAAAAUUAGCGGAUGACUUGUGGAUGGGGGUGAAAGGCCAAUCAAACCGGGAGAUAGCUGGUUCUCCCCGAAAGCUAUUUAGGUAGCGCCUCGUGAACUCAUCUUCGGGGGUAGAGCACUGUUUCGACUAGGGGGUCAUCCCGACUUACCAACUCGAUGCAAACUGCGAAUACCGAAGAAUGUUAUCACGGGAGACACACGGCGGGUGCUAACGUCCGUCGUGAAGAGGGAAACAACCCAGACCGCCAGCUAAGGUCCCAAAGUCAUGGUUAAGUGGGAAACGAAGUGGGAAGGCUCAGACAGCCAGGAUGUUGGCUUAGAAGCAGCCAUCAUUUAAAGAAAGCGUAAUAGCUCACUGGUCGAGUCGGCCCGCGCGGAAGAUGUAACGGGGCUAAACCAUGCACCGAAGCUGCGGCAGCGA